Molecule: long non-coding RNA, 1225 nt
Filed under: Fukomys damarensis (Damara mole-rat)
Lineage: Eukaryota; Metazoa; Chordata; Mammalia; Rodentia; Bathyergidae
Description: lncRNA (ENSFDAG00000026920.1)
Source: RNAcentral
GCGAUCCCCAGGCUGCGGGGACGCGGCCACCCGGCCUCGGGGGCAGCAGCUGCGGGAGACGCAGGGCCCAAGCCCAGACCAAAGUCGCGGGAUUUUCCUAGAAGCUUUUUUUAUUUUUGUAAAGGAGAUAUCAGCAUAAAGAUCAGCGUUGUGGCCGCAGUCCAAGAAAAUCUUUUUUCUUUCCUAAAUCUGGAUUGUGAGGAAAGGCAAAAGUAUCUCCCCCACUCCCUCCUUUUACCAGGGUUUCCUUGUGAAACAAAGAAAGCCCGCGGAGGGAAUCUUAGAGGGCGAAGGUGCGCAGGUAGAGGUAGGAACGAGGCGCACUCGGGCGCAGGCAGCCCGUGCCUGGGAGCACACUCAGGAGAACACCGGACCGCCCCGCUGUCGGGAAAUCAGUUGCAGAGAACUGACACAGAUGGAGGAGAUGGCGGAGGAAGGGAAGAGCGCUUCCGGGACGGGACAGCAUGUAGGACCCAGGAGGGUAAGAAAGCAGCAUGGCGGUGGUGGAGGAAGUUGGCCGGAGAAUGGGGUGGAGGAGAACUCACCGCCCACACUGGGUUUGGGCUGCUCCUCCUCCCACGGGGCUCUCAGGGGCUGGUCUUUUCCUUGCCGACUCUGCAUCCGCUGUGUCUCAUUCGCCAGGUCCACAGGGAGUGGCCGGCUGUUGCCUGCAGAGCAGGAAGGGGAAGAAGCCAGACUCACUACGAUGGCAAAGGCUCCUGCGCUAGGCCUCAGGCCCUAGUCGUUCCUCCUGCCGCUUCCUCUGCCUCCGGGAAAUCCUUCCACUGUGCCAGUGCUCACGCUGGAGUCCGCCCAGUACCCUCUCCCUCACCUUCCGAUCCAGCUAGGCUCUGACGGCCUAGCCAUCUGCACCCUCCAUCUCCCACAUCGGCUCCUCUUCUCCGGGGCCCCUGCCCUGCACUAGUCCGGCCACCCUGGCCCCGGAGAGACCGACACACUGCAGGGGUCUAAGUUUGUCUUCUGCACCCACUCAGACCCCUCUAACCCCAUCACGUGGAGCCUCGCCUCAGCUGCCUUCCUAAACAGCUCCGGCUCUCUUGGAAUACACGCAUUGGUUUACAAUUUUAUAUGCACAGGUUCUUUGAUUAACAUGCCCAUUGCUUUUGCCUGAAACAAAUACAGAGGCUUCAGGUUAAUCCUGCAAACAGUUUCUCUUUGUACAUGUACAGGGAGAGUGACCUUUUUAAAUACUCGCACAUCAGGG